AUUGAACGCUGGCGGCAUGCCUUACACAUGCAAGUCGAACGGUAACAGGUUAAGCUGACGAGUGGCGAACGGGUGAGUAAUGUAUCGGAACGUGCCCAGUCGUGGGGGAUAACUGCUCGAAAGAGCAGCUAAUACCGCAUACGACCUGAGGGUGAAAGCGGGGGAUCGCAAGACCUCGCGCGAUAGGAGCGGCCGAUAUCAGAUUAGGUAGUUGGUGAGGUAAAGGCUCACCAAGCCGACGAUCUGUAGCUGGUCUGAGAGGACGACCAGCCACACUGGGACGGGGACACGGCCCAGACUCCUACGGGAGGCAGCAGUGGGGAAUUUUGGACAAUGGGCGCAAGCCUGAUCCAGCCAUGCCGCGUGCGGGAAGAAGGCCUUCGGGUUGUAAACCGCUUUUGUCAGGGAAGAAAAGGUUCUGGCUAAUACCUGGGACUCAUGACGGUACCUGAAGAAUAAGCACCGGCUAACUACGUGCCAGUAGCCGCCGUAA
This 493-nucleotide ribosomal RNA is filed under the name uncultured bacterium. RNAcentral's name for it is "partial 16S ribosomal RNA". It matches the Rfam family "Bacterial small subunit ribosomal RNA", at positions 29 to 523 of the family's 1533-position model. The record is from RNAcentral.